Molecule: long non-coding RNA, 607 nt
Filed under: Homo sapiens (human)
Lineage: Eukaryota; Metazoa; Chordata; Mammalia; Primates; Hominidae
Description: HSALNT0359844
Source: RNAcentral
GGGAAAGGUCAAAUGACACUUCGUAUGAAGCAACUGGAUUUUUGAAUAACUAAGUGGUGAACCCAAAGUUGGUUAUUCACUCAUUCAUUACGCUGAUAUUUAUUAGAGCAUCUACCGUGGACAAGUCACUGCUUAUGUGAAGAUGGUAACAGCAGCAAACAAUCUAGACAAGCUCUCCUUUCACACAGAGCUUUAAUCUUAGGGAGGAUGCCCAGUGGCAGUGAGGACUCUAACCUGGGUCUUCAACCUGAAGAUCCCAGCAGCUCAUGCUGGGUCUCUCCAGCUAUUAGACGUCUCAUAUAUCAUGUCUCAUCUGUUACACUGAAAUAACCUUCCUGCAGCUAUAUGAUCAGAUGGCCUCCCUUAUUUAUGGAGUGAACAAAAGAUGCAAAUUAUAUUUGGGAAAGUCCCUGUGAAUCAAAAAUGACACCCGUUUUCCCUUAACAGCUUUUAGGAGAUGUUUCAGAAUAGCAUGGAAGAAAGACAUGUGCACAUUCCCUGUAUAGUUUGCCAUUCUUUUCUCCCAGCUAUUAGAGGCACUUCUGACAGGUACCUUUUCUGGCAACUUCUAAAACUUGUGAGGUAUGCUCUCCUAUUUGACCAGGCC